This 36-nucleotide ribosomal RNA is filed under the name Teratosphaeria alcornii. RNAcentral's name for it is "partial 18S ribosomal RNA". Lineage: Eukaryota; Fungi; Ascomycota; Dothideomycetes; Mycosphaerellales; Teratosphaeriaceae. The record is from RNAcentral.
UCCAUAAGGUGAACCUGCGAAGGGAUCAUAACAAAA